AUGCAAGUCGAGGGGUAUAGUUCUUCGGAAUUAGAGACCGGCGCACGGGUGCGUAACGCGUAUGCAAUCUACCUUUCACAGAGGGAUAGCCCAGAGAAAUUUGGAUUAAUACCUCAUAGUAUUAUGAUAUGGCAUCAUAUUAUAAUUAAAGUCACAACGGUGAAAGAUGAGCAUGCGUCCCAUUAGCUAGUUGGUAAGGUAACGGCUUACCAAGGCGACGAUGGGUAGGGGUCCUGAGAGGGAGAUCCCCCACACUGGUACUGAGACACGGACCAGACUCCUACGGGAGGCAGCAGUGAGGAAUAUUGGACAAUGGGCGCAAGCCUGAUCCAGCCAUGCCGCGUGCAGGAUGACGGUCCUAUGGAUUGUAAACUGCUUUUGCACAGGAAGAAACAACGCUACGUGUAGCGUCUUGACGGUACUGUGAGAAUAAGGAUCGGCUAACUCCGUGCCAGCAGCCGCGGUAAUACGGAGGAUCCAAGCGUUAUCCGGAAUCAUUGGGUUUAAAGGGUCCGUAGGCGGUUUAGUAAGUCAGUGGUGAAAGCCCAUCGCUCAACGGUGGAACGGCCAUUGAUACUGCUAGACUUGAAUUAUUAGGAAGUAACUAGAAUAUGUAGUGUAGCGGUGAAAUGCUUAGAGAUUACAUGGAAUACCAAUUGCGAAGGCAGGUUACUACUAAUGGAUUGACGCUGAUGGACGAAAGCGUGGGUAGCGAACAGGAUUAGAUACCCUGGUAGUCCACGCCGUAAACGAUGGAUACUAGCUGUUGGGAGCGAUCUCAGUGGCUAAGCGAAAGUGAUAAGUAUCCCACCUGGGGAGUACGUUCGCAAGAAUGAAACUCAAAGGAAUUGACGGGGGCCCGCACAAGCGGUGGAGCAUGUGGUUUAAUUCGAUGAUACGCGAGGAACCUUA
Molecule: ribosomal RNA, 912 nt
Filed under: uncultured Flavobacteriaceae bacterium
Lineage: Bacteria; Pseudomonadati; Bacteroidota; Flavobacteriia; Flavobacteriales; Flavobacteriaceae
Description: bacterial SSU rRNA
Rfam family: Bacterial small subunit ribosomal RNA
Source: RNAcentral